Molecule: ribosomal RNA, 1368 nt
Filed under: uncultured bacterium
Lineage: Bacteria
Description: bacterial SSU rRNA
Rfam family: Bacterial small subunit ribosomal RNA
Source: RNAcentral
GACGAAUUCUGGCGGCGUGCCUAAUACAUGCAAGUAGAACGCUGAAGAGAGGAGCUUGCUCUUCUUGGGUGAGUUGCGAACGGGUGAGUAACGCGUAGGUAACCUGCCUUGUAGCGGGGGAUAACUAUUGGAAACGAUAGCUAAUACCGCAUAACAAUGGAUGACACAUGUCAUUUAUUUGAAAGGGGCAAUUGCUCCACUACAAGAUGGACCUGCGUUGUAUUAGCUAGUAGGUGAGGUAAUGGCUCACCUAGGCGACGAUACAUAGCCGACCUGAGAGGGUGAUCGGCCACACUGGGACUGAGACACGGCCCAGACUCCUACGGGAGGCAGCAGUAGGGAAUCUUCGGCAAUGGGGGCAACCCUGACCGAGCAACGCCGCGUGAGUGAAGAAGGUUUUCGGAUCGUAAAGCUCUGUUGUAAGUCAAGAACGGGUGUGAGAGUGGAAAGUUCACACUAUGACGGUAGCUUACCAGAAAGGGACGGCUAACUACGUGCCAGCAGCCGCGGUAAUACGUAGGUCCCGAGCGUUGUCCGGAUUUAUUGGGCGUAAAGCGAGCGCAGCGGUUUGAUAAGUCUGAAGUUAAAGGCUGUGGCUCAACCAUAGUUCGCUUUGGAAACUGUCAAACUUGAGUGCAGAAGGGGAGAGUGGAAUUCCAUGUGUAGCGGUGAAAUGCGUAGAUAUAUGGAGGAACACCGGUGGCGAAAGCGGCUCUCUGGUCUGUAACUGACGCUGAGGCUCGAAAGCGUGGGGAGCGAACAGGAUUAGAUACCCUGGUAGUCCACGCCGUAAACGAUGAGUGCUAGGUGUUGGAUCCUUUCCGGGAUUCAGUGCCGCAGCUAACGCAUUAAGCACUCCGCCUGGGGAGUACGACCGCAAGGUUGAAACUCAAAGGAAUUGACGGGGGCCCGCACAAGCGGUGGAGCAUGUGGUUUAAUUCGAAGCAACGCGAAGAACCUUACCAGGUCUUGACAUCCCGAUGCUAUUUCUAGAGAUAGAAAGUUACUUCGGUACAUCGGUGACAGGUGGUGCAUGGUUGUCGUCAGCUCGUGUCGUGAGAUGUUGGGUUAAGUCCCGCAACGAGCGCAACCCCUAUUGUUAGUUGCCAUCAUUCAGUUGGGCACUCUAGCGAGACUGCCGGUAAUAAACCGGAGGAAGGUGGGGAUGACGUCAAAUCAUCAUGCCCCUUAUGACCUGGGCUACACACGUGCUACAAUGGUUGGUACAACGAGUUGCGAGUCGGUGACGGCGAGCUAAUCUCUUAAAGCCAAUCUCAGUUCGGAUUGUAGGCUGCAACUCGCCUACAUGAAGUCGGAAUCGCUAGUAAUCGCGGAUCAGCACGCCGCGGUGAAUACGUUCCCGGGCCU